RNAcentral lists this ribosomal RNA (253 nucleotides) under uncultured Clostridiales Family III bacterium. RNAcentral describes it as "partial 16S ribosomal RNA". It matches the Rfam family "Bacterial small subunit ribosomal RNA", at positions 524 to 776 of the family's 1533-position model. The record is from RNAcentral. Lineage: Bacteria; Bacillati; Bacillota; Clostridia; Eubacteriales; Eubacteriales Family III. Incertae Sedis.
UACGUAGGUGGCGAGCGUUGUCCGGAAUUACUGGGUGUAAAGGGCGUGUAGGCGGGGAUGUAAGUCAGAUGUGAAAUUCCGGGGCUCAACUCCGGACCUGCAUCUGAAACUAUGUCUCUUGAGUGCCGGAGAGGAAAGCGGAAUUCCCAGUGUAGCGGUGAAAUGCGUAGAGAUUGGGAGGAACACCAGUGGCGAAGGCGGCUUUCUGGACGGUAACUGACGCUGAGGCGCGAAAGCGUGGGGAGCAAACAGG